GCAGUGGUGGUUCAAUGGUAGAAUUCUUGCCUUCCGUGUGAGAGACCUGGGUUCCAUCCCUGGCCAACGCA
Molecule: transfer RNA, 71 nt
Filed under: Loxodonta africana (African savanna elephant)
Lineage: Eukaryota; Metazoa; Chordata; Mammalia; Proboscidea; Elephantidae
Rfam family: tRNA
About the family: Transfer RNA (tRNA) molecules are approximately 80 nucleotides in length.
Source: Rfam by way of RNAcentral